UGUAAGAAAGACUAAG
RNAcentral lists this transfer RNA (16 nucleotides) under Goniastrea minuta. RNAcentral's name for it is "partial tRNA-Met". The record is from RNAcentral. Lineage: Eukaryota; Metazoa; Cnidaria; Anthozoa; Scleractinia; Merulinidae. RNAcentral also lists the same sequence under 1 other name.